AGUGAACGCUGGCGGUAGGCCUAACACAUGCAAGUCGAACGGCAGCACAGUAAGAGCUUGCUCUUACGGGUGGCGAGUGGCGGACGGGUGAGGAAUACAUCGGAAUCUACCUUUUCGUGGGGGAUAACGUAGGGAAACUUACGCUAAUACCGCAUACGACCUACGGGUGAAAGCAGGGGAUCUUCGGACCUUGCGCGAUUGCAUGAGCCGAUGUCGGAUUAGCUAGUUGGCGGGGUAAAGGCCCACCAAGGCGACGAUCCGUAGCUGGUCUGAGAGGAUGAUCAGCCACACUGGAACUGAGACACGGUCCAGACUCCUACGGGAGGCAGCAGUGGGGAAUAUUGGACAAUGGGCGCAAGCCUGAUCCAGCCAUACCGCGUGGGUGAAGAAGGCCUUCGGGUUGUAAAGCCCUUUUGUUGGGAAAGAAAAGCAGCAGGUUAAUACCCCGCUGUUCUGACGGUACCCAAAGAAUAAGCACCGGCUAACUUCGUG
RNAcentral lists this ribosomal RNA (492 nucleotides) under uncultured bacterium. RNAcentral's name for it is "partial 16S ribosomal RNA". It matches the Rfam family "Bacterial small subunit ribosomal RNA", at positions 29 to 507 of the family's 1533-position model. The record is from RNAcentral.